This 1361-nucleotide ribosomal RNA is filed under the name uncultured bacterium. RNAcentral describes it as "bacterial SSU rRNA". It matches the Rfam family "Bacterial small subunit ribosomal RNA", at positions 28 to 1381 of the family's 1533-position model. The record is from RNAcentral.
AUUGAACGCUGGCGGCAGGCCUAACACAUGCAAGUCGAGCGGUAGCACAGAGAGCUUGCUCUCGGGUGACGAGCGGCGGACGGGUGAGUAAUGUCUGGGAAACUGCCUGAUGGAGGGGGAUAACUACUGGAAACGGUAGCUAAUACCGCAUAACGUCGCAAGACCAAAGUGGGGGACCUUCGGGCCUCAUGCCAUCAGAUGUGCCCAGAUGGGAUUAGCUAGUAGGUGGGGUAAUGGCUCACCUAGGCGACGAUCCCUAGCUGGUCUGAGAGGAUGACCAGCCACACUGGAACUGAGACACGGUCCAGACUCCUACGGGAGGCAGCAGUGGGGAAUAUUGCACAAUGGGCGCAAGCCUGAUGCAGCCAUGCCGCGUGUGCGAAGAAGGCCUUCGGGUUGUAAAGCACUUUCAGCGGGGAGGAAGGCGAUAAGGUUAAUAACCUCAUCGAUUGACGUUACCCGCAGAAGAAGCACCGGCUAACUCCGUGCCAGCAGCCGCGGUAAUACGGAGGGUGCAAGCGUUAAUCGGAAUUACUGGGCGUAAAGCGCACGCAGGCGGUCUGUCAAGUCGGAUGUGAAAUCCCCGGGCUCAACCUGGGAACUGCAUUCGAAACUGGCAGGCUAGAGUCUUGUAGAGGGGGGUAGAAUUCCAGGUGUAGCGGUGAAAUGCGUAGAGAUCUGGAGGAAUACCGGUGGCGAAGGCGGCCCCCUGGACAAAGACUGACGCUCAGGUGCGAAAGCGUGGGGAGCAAACAGGAUUAGAUACCCUGGUAGUCCACGCCGUAAACGAUGUCGAUUUGGAGGUUGUGCCCUUGAGGCGUGGCUUCCGGAGCUAACGCGUUAAAUCGACCGCCUGGGGAGUACGGCCGCAAGGUUAAAACUCAAAUGAAUUGACGGGGGCCCGCACAAGCGGUGGAGCAUGUGGUUUAAUUCGAUGCAACGCGAAGAACCUUACCUGGUCUUGACAUCCACAGAACUUUCCAGAGAUGGAUUGGUGCCUUCGGGAACUGUGAGACAGGUGCUGCAUGGCUGUCGUCAGCUCGUGUUGUGAAAUGUUGGGUUAAGUCCCGCAACGAGCGCAACCCUUAUCCUUUGUUGCCAGCGGUCCGGCCGGGAACUCAAAGGAGACUGCCAGUGAUAAACUGGAGGAAGGUGGGGAUGACGUCAAGUCAUCAUGGCCCUUACGACCAGGGCUACACACGUGCUACAAUGGCAUAUACAAAGAGAAGCGACCUCGCGAGAGCAAGCGGACCUCAUAAAGUAUGUCGUAGUCCGGAUUGGAGUCUGCAACUCGACUCCAUGAAGUCGGAAUCGCUAGUAAUCGUAGAUCAGAAUGCUACGGUGAAUACGUUCCCGGGCCU